AACGAACGCUGGCGGCAUGCCUAACACAUGCAAGUCGAACGAGACCUUCGGGUCUAGUGGCGCACGGGUGCGUAACGCGUGGGAACCUGCCCUUAGGUUCGGAAUAACUCCCCGAAAGGGGUGCUAAUACCGGAUAAUGUCUUCGGACCAAAGAUUUAUCGCCUUUGGAUGGGCCCGCGUUGGAUUAGCUAGUUGGUAGGGUAAAGGCCUACCAAGGCGACGAUCCAUAGCUGGUCUGAGAGGAUGAUCAGCCACACUGGGACUGAGACACGGCCCAGACUCCUACGGGAGGCAGCAGUGGGGAAUAGUGGACAAUGGGCGAAAGCCUGAUCCAGCAAUGCCGCGUGAGUGAUGAAGGCCUUAGGGUUGUAAAGCUCUUUUACCCGGGAUGAUAAUGACAGUACCGGGAGAAUAAGCUCCGGCUAACUCCGUG
Molecule: ribosomal RNA, 433 nt
Filed under: uncultured bacterium
Lineage: Bacteria
Description: partial 16S ribosomal RNA
Rfam family: Bacterial small subunit ribosomal RNA
Source: RNAcentral